RNAcentral lists this long non-coding RNA (283 nucleotides) under Sorghum bicolor (sorghum). RNAcentral's name for it is "long non-coding RNA (SBIC_LNC016829)". The record is from RNAcentral. Lineage: Eukaryota; Viridiplantae; Streptophyta; Magnoliopsida; Poales; Poaceae.
ACGGCGUCGCUGUGGAGGAAGAGGGUGAAGUGGCUGGUGAGGUUGAAGGGCCCCGUGAGCCACUUCCCGGCGGGCACGUACAGCAUGGCGCCGCCGGCGUCCUCGCCGGAGUACUGCGACAGGUGGUCGACCGCGGAGCGGAACGCCGCGGUGUUGGAGGUGGUGCCGUCGCCCACGCCGCCGAAGUCCGCGAGCGACGCCGUGUGCGCCCGGCAGGCCGGCGCCAGGUACAUGCUCUGCCCGGUGCCGUGCGCCGGGGUGGGCGCGUGGUGGCGCCCCGACA